This 445-nucleotide ribosomal RNA is filed under the name uncultured bacterium. RNAcentral's name for it is "partial 16S ribosomal RNA". It matches the Rfam family "Bacterial small subunit ribosomal RNA", at positions 354 to 796 of the family's 1533-position model. The record is from RNAcentral.
GUGAGGAAUAUUGGUCAAUGGGCGGGAGCCUGAACCAGCCAAGUCGCGUGAAGGAAGAAGGAUCUAUGGUUCGUAAACUUCUUUUGCAGGGGAAUAAAGUGCAGGACGUGUCCUGUUUUGUAUGUACCCUGAGAAUAAGGAUCGGCUAACUCCGUGCCAGCAGCCGCGGUAAUACGGAGGAUCCGAGCGUUAUCCGGAUUUAUUGGGUUUAAAGGGUGCGUAGGUGGUUUGAUAAGUCAGCGGUGAAAGUUUGCAGCUUAACUGUAAAAAUGCCGUUGAAACUGUCGGACUUGAGUGUAAAUGAGGUAGGCGGAAUGCGUUGUGUAGCGGUGAAAUGCAUAGAUAUCACGCAGAACUCCGAUUGCGAAGGCAGCUUACUAAGCUACAACUGACACUGAAGCACGAAAGCGUGGGGAUCAAACAGGAUUAGAUACCCUGGUAGUCC